RNAcentral lists this ribosomal RNA (1051 nucleotides) under Simplicillium sp. RNAcentral's name for it is "SSU rRNA". It matches the Rfam family "Eukaryotic small subunit ribosomal RNA", at positions 86 to 1148 of the family's 1831-position model. The record is from RNAcentral. Lineage: Eukaryota; Fungi; Ascomycota; Sordariomycetes; Hypocreales; Cordycipitaceae.
ACUGCGAAUGGCUCAUUAUAUAAGUUAUCGUUUAUUUGAUAGUACCUUACUACUUGGAUAACCGUGGUAAUUCUAGAGCUAAUACAUGCUAAAAAUCCCGACUUCGGAAGGGAUGUAUUUAUUAGAUUAAAAACCAAUGCCCUCUGGGCUCUCUGGUGAUUCAUGAUAACUUCUCGAAUCGCAUGGCCUUGCGCCGGCGAUGGUUCAUUCAAAUUUCUUCCCUAUCAACUUUCGAUGUUUGGGUAUUGGCCAAACAUGGUCGCAACGGGUAACGGAGGGUUAGGGCUCGACCCCGGAGAAGGAGCCUGAGAAACGGCUACUACAUCCAAGGAAGGCAGCAGGCGCGCAAAUUACCCAAUCCCGACACGGGGAGGUAGUGACAAUAAAUACUGAUACAGGGCUCUUUCGGGUCUUGUAAUUGGAAUGAGUACAAUUUAAAUCCCUUAACGAGGAACAAUUGGAGGGCAAGUCUGGUGCCAGCAGCCGCGGUAAUUCCAGCUCCAAUAGCGUAUAUUAAAGUUGUUGUGGUUAAAAAGCUCGUAGUUGAACCUUGGGCCUGGCUGGCCGGUCCGCCUCACCGCGUGUACUGGUCCGGCCGGGCCUUUCCCUCUGUGGAACCUCAUGCCCUUCACUGGGCGUGACGGGGAAACAGGACUUUUACUGUGAAAAAAUUAGAGUGCUCCAGGCAGGCCUAUGCUCGAAUACAUUAGCAUGGAAUAAUGAAAUAGGACGUGCGGUUCUAUUUUGUUGGUUUCUAGGACCGCCGUAAUGAUUAAUAGGGACAGUCGGGGGCAUCAGUAUUCAAUUGUCAGAGGUGAAAUUCUUGGAUUUAUUGAAGACUAACUACUGCGAAAGCAUUUGCCAAGGAUGUUUUCAUUAAUCAGGAACGAAAGUUAGGGGAUCGAAGACGAUCAGAUACCGUCGUAGUCUUAACCAUAAACUAUGCCGACUAGGGAUCGGACGAUGUAAAUAAUUGACUCGUUCGGCACCUUACGAGAAAUCAAAGUGUUUGGGCUCCAGGGGGAGUAUGGUCGCAAGGCUGAAACUUAAA